ACUACUCUCAAUUUCAAUCUUUUUGUUUGAAAUUGGAUUUGGAUGUUGUCGUGUGAACGACUGAUCCUAAAUGCAUUAGCGAUCUGCCUUUGAUCACAUGUGAUGUGAUAAGAAAAAGCAUUGCUUAGAUCAAGUGCUUAGGUUGCUUCUAAUCGUCGAAAGACAAUGACAUGUC
RNAcentral lists this unclassified non-coding RNA (175 nucleotides) under uncultured Geastrales. Its description in RNAcentral is "sequence contains ITS2". Lineage: Eukaryota; Fungi; Basidiomycota; Agaricomycetes; Geastrales. The record is from RNAcentral.